Molecule: ribosomal RNA, 406 nt
Filed under: uncultured bacterium
Lineage: Bacteria
Description: partial 16S ribosomal RNA
Rfam family: Bacterial small subunit ribosomal RNA
Source: RNAcentral
AUUGAACGCUGGCGGCAGGCCUAACACAUGCAAGUCGAACGAGUGGCGGACGGGUGAGUAAUGCCUGGGAAACUGCCUGAUGGCGGGGGAUAACUACUGGAAACGGUAGCUAAUACCGCCUACCAUCGGAUGUGCCCAGAUGGGAUUAGCUAGUAGGUGGGGUAACGGCUCACCUAGCCGACGAUCCCUAGCUGGUCUGAGAGGAUGACCAGCCACACUGGAACUGGGACAGGGUCCAGACUCCGACGGGAGGCAGCAUUGGGGAAGAUUGCACAAUGGGGGCAAGCCUGAUGCAGCCAUGCCGCGUGUAUGAAGAAGGCCUUCGGGUUGUAAAGUACUUUCAGCGGCGAGGAGUUACCCGCAGAAGAAGCACCGGAUAACGCCGUGCCAGCAGCAGCGGUAAUAC